Acinonyx jubatus (cheetah) is the source of this 410-nucleotide long non-coding RNA. RefSeq lists it as uncharacterized. The transcript is spliced from 3 exons. NCBI's taxonomy places the organism in Eukaryota, Metazoa, Chordata, Mammalia, Carnivora, Felidae. The record is from RefSeq and is a predicted model, not a curated record.
GAAGUUUUCCUUUUUUAAAUCUCCUGCUUGAUGAGUCACAAAAUGCCACUGGCACUAUAUUACUAGUCACUCUAUAAAGCGGAUGCCAAGCACAGAUGGUGAAGAUGUUCCUGGCUUCCACCACUAUCUUGACAGUCCAAAUGCAGUCAGAGAUCACUGGAGAAGGGUAUAUGCCACACCUCCCAGCUGAGACAGCAAAACCUCCAGUCUCUUUCUAAAUACUUUCUUCAGAACAUCGGUGAUUCAGGAACUGAAAUGAGCCCUACGUUAUAAUAUUUUGUCAAUAAAAAAGACUGGGUCAAAAUCACAUCACUGUUUGAAUGAAAGGAAAGAAGAUAUAAUGAACAAAAACAGAAGUGGAGAGCAGAUGACACAACAAUGAGGAAAAGUUUUUGUUAUAAGUUAAAAGU